UUCCCCGCAUGUUAUGGGUAGCUGCCACUGUGUGGUGAAAAAGAAGUUUCUGAAUCUGAUGCUUUCCAACGAGAAAGAUGCAGGGAUUCUGUCUAUAAGAAUUAUUCGUUUCCAGAGGUGCUAAUUAGCAGCGAGGAGACAAAGAUGAGCAGCAAGGAAGAAAAGCAAACGUCCUGGAUAAUCCACAAACCGGAUGAUCUUUUUCUUGAAUAAUCAAGACAUUAUAGGCUGGAUUUUGCUACUCUCUUCUGGGCUAAAUGAUGGCUUGGUUCAGUGUGAGACAUUCCAAGGUGCAAAUCGUAUCGUGGAUAUCCAAGCUGUCUAUCUGAGCAUUCUUUCGGUGAGAAGCAGAGGUUACCGUCACUAUUUGGACAGAAAUAAAAUGUGUUUGACUAA
Ornithorhynchus anatinus (platypus) is the source of this 396-nucleotide long non-coding RNA. RefSeq lists it as uncharacterized. Lineage: Eukaryota; Metazoa; Chordata; Mammalia; Monotremata; Ornithorhynchidae. The record is from RefSeq and is a predicted model, not a curated record. The transcript is spliced from 2 exons.